GGUCAAGUUAUUAAGGGUGCAGGGCGGAUGCCUUGGCACUAGGAGCCGAUGAAGGACGUGAUAAGCUGCGAUAAGCUUCGGGGAGUUGCACGUAAACUUUGAUCCGAAGAUUUCCGAAUGAGGAAACUCACUUAGAGUAAUGUCUAAGUAUCAUUAAGUGAAUACAUAGCUUAAUGAGGGGAACUCAGGGAACUGAAACAUCUAAGUACCUGAAGGAAGAGAAAGAAAUUCGAUUCCGUAAGUAGCGGCGAGCGAACGCGGAUUAGCCCAAACCAAUAAAGUUUUCUUUAUUGGGGUUGCGGACAUAUCAUAACGAAGAGGUAUCGUAAUUGAAGAGGUUUGGAAAGACCCACCACAGAAGGUAAUAGUCCUGUAUGUUAAACGAGAAGACUUUAGAUAUGAUCCAGAGUACCACGGGACACGUGAAACCCUGUGGGAAGCAGGAGGGACCACCCUCCAAGGCUAAAUACUACCUAGUGACCGAUAGCGUAUAGUACCGUGAGGGAAAGGUGAAAAGAACCCCGGGAGGGGAGUGAAAUAGAACCUGAAACCCUGCACUUACAAGCUGUGGAAGCACAUUUCUUGUGUGACCGCGUACUUUUUGUAGAACGGGCCAACGAGUUACGUUAAGUAGCAAGGUUAAGCACUUAAGGUGCGGAGCCGUAGCGAAAGCGAGUUUUAACUGAGCGUUCAGUUACUUGACGUAGACCCGAAACCGGGCGACCUACCCAUGAGCAGGAUGAAGCGAAAGUAAAAUUUCGUGGAGGUCCGAACCCACGAGCGUUGAAAAGCUCGGGGAUGACUUGUGGGUAGCGGUGAAAUUCCAAUCGAGCCCGGAGAUAGCUGGUUCUCCCCGAAAUAGCUUUAGGGCUAGCCUCAAGGUGAGAGAUACGGAGGUAGAGCACUGAAUGUCCUAGGGGGUAUUGCACCUACCGAAGACUAUCAAACUCCGAAUGCCGUCAUCUUAUACUUGGGAGUCAGACUGUGGGUGAUAAGAUUCAUAGUCGAAAGGGCAACAGCCCAGAUCGUCAGCUAAGGUCCCUAAAUGUAAGUUAAGUGGUAAAGGAUGUGGGAUUGCACAGACAACCAGGAUGUUGGCUUAGAAGCAGCCACUCAUUCAAAGAGUGCGUAAUAGCUCACUGGUCGAGUGAUCCUGCGCCGAAGAUUUCCGGGGCUAAAACUUACUACCGAAGCUACGGCAUCAGUAAUGAUGGGUAGGGGAGCUUCCCAUACGGGUUGAAGCAUGACCGUAAGGACAUGUGGACAGUAUGGGAGUGAGAAUGUUGGCAUGAGUAGCGAGAUGUGGGUGAGAAUCCCACAGGCCGUAAACCCAAGGUUUCCAGGGGAAGGUUCGUCCGCCCUGGGUUAGUCGGGACCUAAGCUGAGGCCGAAAGGCGUAGGUGAUGGACAACAGGUUGAUAUUCCUGUACUA
This 1432-nucleotide ribosomal RNA is filed under the name Clostridioides difficile. Its description in RNAcentral is "partial 23S ribosomal RNA". It matches the Rfam family "Bacterial large subunit ribosomal RNA", at positions 1 to 1446 of the family's 2925-position model. Lineage: Bacteria; Bacillati; Bacillota; Clostridia; Peptostreptococcales; Peptostreptococcaceae. The record is from RNAcentral.